RNAcentral lists this ribosomal RNA (426 nucleotides) under uncultured bacterium. RNAcentral describes it as "bacterial SSU rRNA". It matches the Rfam family "Bacterial small subunit ribosomal RNA", at positions 354 to 796 of the family's 1533-position model. The record is from RNAcentral.
GUAGGGAAUAUUGCACAAUGGGCGAAAGCCUGAUGCAGCAACGCCGCGUGCGCGAUGAAGGCCUUCGGGUUGUAAAGCGCUUUUCGGGGGGAUGAGGAAGGACAGUACCCCCGGAAUAAGUCUCGGCUAACUACGUGCCAGCAGCCGCGGUAACACGUAGGAGACAAGCGUUAUCCGGAUUUACUGGGCGUAAAGCGCGUGUAGGCGGUUUGGUAAGUCGGGCGUGAAAUCUCCUGGCUCAACUGGGAGGGGCCGUCCGAAACUACCAGACUGGAGGGCAGAAGAGGGAGGUGGAAUUCCGGGUGUAGUGGUGAAAUGCGUAGAUAUCCGGAGGAACACCAGUGGCGAAGGCGGCCUCCUAGUCUGUCCCUGACGCUCAGACGCGAAAGCUAGGGGAGCGAACGGGAUUAGAAACCCCGGUAGUCC